This is a non-coding RNA of Paramuricea clavata, 884 nucleotides long. The record is from the annotation of a GenBank genome assembly. NCBI's taxonomy places the organism in Eukaryota, Metazoa, Cnidaria, Anthozoa, Malacalcyonacea, Plexauridae.
AUUGGGCUAUUCCAUUUAAUAUCCGUACCCCCCCCUGUCGAGGAUCCCUGGAAUUCUUCAGGGGUAAAGGGUUUUGAGCUUGGAAUUCUUCAGGGGUAAAGUGUUUUGAGCUUGGAAUUCUUCAGGGGUAAAUGGUUUUGAGCUUGGAAUUCUUCAGGUGUAAAGGGUUUUGAGCUUGGAAUUCUUCAGGUGUAAAGGGUUUUGAGCUUGGAAUUCUUCAGGGGUAAAGAGGUUUGAGAUUGAAAUUUUUCAGAGCUUGGAAUUCUUCAGGGGUGAAGGGGUUUGAGCUUGGAAUUCUUCAGGGGUAAAAGGUUUUGAGCUUGAAAUUCUUCAGGGGUAAAGGGUUUUGAGCUUGGAAUUCUUUAGGGGUGAAGGGUUUUGAGCUUGGAAUUCUUCAGGGGUAAAAGGUUUUGAGCUUGGAAUUCUUCAGGGGUAAAGGGUUUUGAGCUUGGAAUUUUGGAAUUCUUCAGGGGUAAAAGGUUUUGAGCUUGGAAUUCUUCAGGGGUAAAGAGUUUUGAGCUUGGAAUUUUGGAAUUCUUCAGGGGUAAACAGUUUUGAGCUUGGAAUUCUUCAGGGGUAUGACAAUGAAAAACAUGUAUCCUCGACAGGGGGGGUACGGAUAUUAAAUGGAAUAGCCCAUUAAGAAACACACAGCAUUACUUUAAUAAACUUAUUAAGCUUCCUAGCGUCUCAUAUAAACACUAUUCUGAUAUUUAUAUGCCAAUAACAAAAUGUAGAAUAACAAUGGUGCAGCAUUACCAUACAAGGUCACGAUAAGCUGUUGCCUAUAAUACUUAUAAUAAUAACACAACAAUCCAUGAUUUACCGUAAUUAAACAAGUUAAAAUAUAUCACUACCAGUAUCUUACAACAAUUCAAAAGUAU